Molecule: ribosomal RNA, 497 nt
Filed under: uncultured bacterium
Lineage: Bacteria
Description: partial 16S ribosomal RNA
Rfam family: Bacterial small subunit ribosomal RNA
Source: RNAcentral
GAUGAACGCUGGCGGCGUGCCUAAUACAUGCAAGUCGAGCGAACAGACGAGGAGUUUGUUCCUCUGACGUUAGCGGCGGAUGGGUGAGUAACACGUGGCUAACCUACCUAUAAGACUGGGAUAACUUCGGGAAACCGGAGCUAAUACCGGAUAAUAUAUUGAACCGCAUGGUUCAAUAGUGAAAGACGGUUUUGCUGUCACUUAUAGAUGGAUCCGCGCCGCAUUAGCUAGUUGGUAAGGUAACGGUUUACUAAGGCAACGAUGCGUAGCCGACCUGAGAGGGUGAUCGGCCACACUGGAACUGAGACGCGGUCCAGACUCCUACGGGAGGCAGCAGUAGGGAAUCUUCAGCCAUGGGCGAAAGCCUGACGGAGAAGCGCCGCGUGAGUGAUGAAGGUCUUCGGAUCGUAAAACUCUGUUAUUAGGGAAGAACAAAUGUGUAAGUAACUAUGCACGUCUUGACGGUACCUAAUCAGAAAGCCACGGCUAACUACGUG